Long non-coding RNA from Suricata suricatta (meerkat), 422 nucleotides. RefSeq lists it as uncharacterized. The transcript has 3 exons. Lineage: Eukaryota; Metazoa; Chordata; Mammalia; Carnivora; Herpestidae. The record is from RefSeq and is a predicted model, not a curated record.
UCUACAAAGCCAGCAAUCUUUGGCACCUCCAGUUACUAAGUGUGGUCCCAUGAUUCUGAGUAGAGGGUGUCCCUUUUCCAAAUGCUGACCUUGUUUCUCUGAGUGGAGUGAGGGGAAGAGAGAAGAAAGGAAAUAGGAUGUGCUGGCUCCAUGACACGAGGGAAGGUCCUAUCACAGAUCAUAUCAUCUUCAGAAAAUUCCAUCGAGGGUGUGAAAGCCCCCUGACCUCCAAGGAGGGAAUUAUGAGACAAGAAGCAGCUGUGAUUCCCCCAAGAGAGGGGGGCCACCAUGGUAGGCAACUCAAGACCACUGCGUGGGCCAGCAAGACUCACUCACCCCCACCUCGGCCUCCACUUGGCCUCAGAAAGCUCGCCUUCUUGUAGAAACCUGUGCACUCACACAAUCCUUCCUUCAUUUGCUUA